AUAGACGGGUAAGGGGCGUCACAGAUUUGUCCCAUCUAAUUCUUUCCCAGACUUAGUUCGACUUAGUCCAACUUAGUCCAUCUCUUCUAGCCAUUGAAUUGGAGAAAAACCAUUAAUAUUGAGGCCAUCAUCAAUUUUGUAAUAAUUUACUUUUUCACGCUUUUACCUUGUAAUAAUUAAAUUUUAAUAUUAGCAUCAUUAAUAAUAUAUAUAUAUGUUAACGCUUCCUAAAUUAUGUUAUUAGGAUAAUAGUGUUACAAUUGAGUUUUACUAUAACGAAAGAGAGAAAAGAAGAAUAUAGCCAAUGUAAAAGAGUUAAUUUAGAAAUAUAUAAUAAGG
This 339-nucleotide unclassified non-coding RNA is filed under the name Hevea brasiliensis (rubber tree). Lineage: Eukaryota; Viridiplantae; Streptophyta; Magnoliopsida; Malpighiales; Euphorbiaceae. The record is from RNAcentral.